GCCGCGGUCGCCUAAAGGUAUGGCGACGGCCUCAGCCGCCGUACCCGCAAGGGUGUCUGGGUUCAAAUCCCAGCCGCGGCG
This 81-nucleotide transfer RNA is filed under the name Candidatus Woesearchaeota archaeon. RNAcentral's name for it is "tRNA-Leu". It matches the Rfam family "tRNA". Rfam says of the family: Transfer RNA (tRNA) molecules are approximately 80 nucleotides in length. Their secondary structure includes four short double-helical elements and three loops (D, anti-codon, and T loops). Lineage: Archaea; Nanobdellati; Candidatus Woesearchaeota. The record is from RNAcentral.